AGCGAACGCUAGCGGCGGGCUUAACACAUGCAAGUCGAGCGCUUCACUUCGGUGAAGAGCGGCGGACGGGUGAGUAACACGUAGGUUACCUGCCCCUGGGUGAGGGACAACCGAGGGAAACCUCGGCUAAUACCACAUAUGGUCUACGGAUCAAAGGCUUCGGCCGCCCGGGGAUGGGCCUGCGUCCCAUUAUUUAAUCCUAGUUGGCGGGGUAACGGCCCACCAAGGGUACGAUGGGUAGCUGGUCUGAGAGGAUGAUCAGCCACACUGGAACUGAGACACGGUCCAGACUCCUACGGGAGGCAGCAGUAGGGAAUAUUGGACAAUGGGCGGAAGCCUGAUCCAGCCAUCCCGCGUGUAGGAAUAAGGCCCUAUGGGUUGUAAACUACUUUAGGUUAGGAAGAAAACUUUAGAUUUAUCAGAGCUUGACGGUACCUAAGGAAUAAGCACCGGCUAACUCCGUG
RNAcentral lists this ribosomal RNA (464 nucleotides) under uncultured bacterium. RNAcentral describes it as "bacterial SSU rRNA". It matches the Rfam family "Bacterial small subunit ribosomal RNA", at positions 29 to 507 of the family's 1533-position model. The record is from RNAcentral.